CUAGAGAUAGGACGUUCCCCUUCGGGGGACAGAGUGACAGGUGGUGCAUGGUUGUCGUCAGCUCGUGUCGUGAGAUGUUGGGUUAAGUCCCGCAACGAGCGCAACCCUUGUCCUUAGUUGCCAGCAUUCAGUUGGGCACUCUAAGGAGACUGCCGGUGACAAACCGGAGGAAGGUGGGGAUGACGUCAAAUCAUCAUGCCCCUUAUGACCUGGGCUACACACGUGCUACAAUGGAUGGUACAAAGGGCUGCAAAACCGCGAGGUUGAGCCAAUCCCAUAAAACCAUUCUCAGUUCGGAUUGUAGGCUGCAACUCGCCUACAUGAAGCUGGAAUCGCUAGUAAUCGCGGAUCAGCAUGCCGCGGUGAAUACGUUCCCGGG
This 379-nucleotide ribosomal RNA is filed under the name uncultured bacterium. RNAcentral's name for it is "bacterial SSU rRNA". It matches the Rfam family "Bacterial small subunit ribosomal RNA", at positions 1000 to 1378 of the family's 1533-position model. The record is from RNAcentral.